UACGGGGGGGGCAAGCGUUGUUCGGAAUUACUGGGCGUAAAGGGCUCGUAGGUGGCCAACUAAGUCAGACGUGAAAUCCCUCGGCUUAACCGGGGAACUGCGUCUGAUACUGGAUGGCUUGAGUUCGGGAGAGGGAUGCAGAAUUCCAGGUGUAGCGGUGAAAUGCGUAGAUAUCUGGAGGAACACCUAUGGCGAAGGCAGCUCUCUGGGACGGUACUGACGCUGAGACGCGAAAGCGUGGGGAGCGAACAGG
Molecule: ribosomal RNA, 253 nt
Filed under: uncultured bacterium
Lineage: Bacteria
Description: partial 16S ribosomal RNA
Rfam family: Bacterial small subunit ribosomal RNA
Source: RNAcentral